GGAGCAGUGGUCUAGUCGGUCUAGGAUGCCGGCCUGUCACGCCGGAGGUCGCGGGUUCGAAUCCCGUCUGCUCCGCCA
This 78-nucleotide transfer RNA is filed under the name Thermincola carboxydiphila. Its description in RNAcentral is "tRNA-Asp". It matches the Rfam family "tRNA". From Rfam's summary of the family: Transfer RNA (tRNA) molecules are approximately 80 nucleotides in length. Their secondary structure includes four short double-helical elements and three loops (D, anti-codon, and T loops). Lineage: Bacteria; Bacillati; Bacillota; Clostridia; Eubacteriales; Thermincolaceae. RNAcentral also lists the same sequence under 2 other names. The record is from RNAcentral.